Long non-coding RNA from Pollicipes pollicipes, 480 nucleotides. RefSeq lists it as uncharacterized. NCBI's taxonomy places the organism in Eukaryota, Metazoa, Arthropoda, Thecostraca, Pollicipedomorpha, Pollicipedidae. The transcript has 3 exons. The record is from RefSeq and is a predicted model, not a curated record.
GACGCGAGGUCUGACGUGCGCCACUGAAGUCCGCCUGUUUCGUCAACGGCGAUAGAAGGAACAACUUUGAAAAAGAAAAGCAAAUCGGAUGUGAUCAACCCUUCGGGACAAUCAACCCAGGUCACCAAGCAGACCCGCCCUGCCAGAAUGGCCGCCGCAGAAGAGAUCAUACGUGAUGUGUGCACCACUGGAGCACUUACAACUGUCUACGUGAGAGGCAACUUCGCCGCCAGCAGCAGGGCACCUCCUGACGAGGAGGACGACGAUGACGGUGGAAGCCGUCGCCACUCUUUUAAUUUUAGGGAUGAGGCGCAGGCGCCUUCCCCCCGCCUGCUUGGCGAGACUUGGGAACGUUCCAACCUGAUGGAGAAGGUUCGCCCUCUCACCUGCCUCACCUGCCAGCAGGUGAGUCAGGCGUGGGAUGAGUGUGUAAAGCACGCGCUCAGCUCUGGCCACGGCCUGGAGGCCCGCUGCCGACUC